Molecule: ribosomal RNA, 248 nt
Filed under: Bacteroidetes bacterium 8_(MB)_12.9mbsf
Lineage: Bacteria; Pseudomonadati; Bacteroidota
Description: partial 16S ribosomal RNA
Rfam family: Bacterial small subunit ribosomal RNA
Source: RNAcentral
UAACAGAGAAGAGCUUGCUCUUUUGCUGACGAGUGGCGCACGGGUGCGUAACGCGUAUACAAUCUACCUUUUACAGGAGGAUAGCCUUUAGAAAUGAAGAUUAAUAUUCCAUAGUAAGUUGACUUGGCNUCNNGAUAACUUUAAAGUUUCGGCGGUAAAAGAUGANUAUGCCNCUCUAUUAGCUAGAUGGUGUGGUAACGGCACNNCAUGGCNACGAUAGAUAGGGGNCCNGCAGAGGGGGAUCCCCC